AUUGAACGCUGGCGGCAUGCCUUACACAUGCAAAUCGAACGGUAACGGGCCUUCGGGUGCCGACGAGUGGCGAACGGGUGAGUAAUACAUCGGAACGUGCCCGAUCGUGGGGGAUAACGAGGCGAAAGCUUUGCUAAUACCGCAUACGAUCUACGGAUGAAAGCAGGGGACCGCAAGGCCUUGCGCGGACGGAGCGGCCGAUGGCAGAUUAGGUAGUUGGUGGGAUAAAAGCUUACCAAGCCGACGAUCUGUAGCUGGUCUGAGGAUGAUCAGCCACACUGGGACUGAGACACGGCCCAGACUCCUACGGGAGGCAGCAGUGGGGAAUUUUGGACAAUGGGCGCAAGCCUGAUCCAGCCAUGCCGCGUGCAGGAUGAAGGCCUUCGGGUUGUAAACUGAUUUUGUACGGAACGAAAAGCCUUCUUUUAAUACAGGAGGGUCAUGACGGUACCGUAAGAAUAAGCACCGGCUAACUACGUG
Molecule: ribosomal RNA, 480 nt
Filed under: uncultured bacterium
Lineage: Bacteria
Description: partial 16S ribosomal RNA
Rfam family: Bacterial small subunit ribosomal RNA
Source: RNAcentral